GAUGAACGCUGGCGGCGUGCCUAAUACAUGCAAGUCGAGCGAACAGAUGAGGAGCUUGCUCCUCUGACGUUAGCGGCGGACGGGUGAGUAACACGUGGAUAACCUACCUAUAAGAUUGGGAUAACUUCGGGAAACCGGAGCUAAUACCGGAUAAUAUAUUGAACCGCAUGGUUCAAUAGUGAAAGACGGUUUUGCUGUCACUUAUAGAUGGAUCCGCGCCGCAUUAGCUAGUUGGUAAGGUAACGGCUUACCAAGGCAACGAUGCGUAGCCGACCUGAGAGGGUGAUCGGCCACACUGGAACUGAGACACGGUCCAGACUCCUACGGGAGGCAGCAGUAGGGAAUCUUCCGCAAUGGGCGAAAGCCUGACGGAGCAACGCCGCGUGAGUGAUGAAGGUCUUCGGAUCGUAAAACUCUGUUAUUGGGGAAGAACAAAUGUGUAAGUAACUAUGCACGUCUUGACGGUACCUAAUCAGAAAGCCACGGCUAACUACGUG
Molecule: ribosomal RNA, 497 nt
Filed under: uncultured bacterium
Lineage: Bacteria
Description: partial 16S ribosomal RNA
Rfam family: Bacterial small subunit ribosomal RNA
Source: RNAcentral